Molecule: long non-coding RNA, 514 nt
Filed under: Manihot esculenta (cassava)
Lineage: Eukaryota; Viridiplantae; Streptophyta; Magnoliopsida; Malpighiales; Euphorbiaceae
Description: long non-coding RNA (MESC_LNC009740)
Source: RNAcentral
CGGAUUGGACAUGACCACCAAAACUCCCUUUGACUGUAACAUAACAUGGUGCCCGGCCCUUCGGGCUCCUCAGGACUUCAUUAUACCCGGCCCUUCGGGCUCCUCAGGACUUCAUUAUACCCGGCCCUUCGGGCUCCUCAGGACUUCAUUAUGCCUGGCCCUCAAGGGGCUCCUCAGGACUUCAUUAACAUAAUCAUAGCUAGAGCUAUUGGGGUCGCCUUGGUCCAUCCACAUCAACAGUAAAUAAUGCAAUGCGUCAUAUUCGUGUGACUAAUGCAAUCAACCUAUUACAUAUAAACAUGAUGCAUGAACAUGCUUUAGGCAUUUGCUUUCAUAAAAUAAAAGAUUAAGUUUAGUUCUACUCACCUCUAGCAGACGCUAAACUGACUCUGCAACUGCUAACACUGAUGGCCUCCUCGGUCCCUCGGGUCCGAUCCUACACAGGUGGACUCGAAUGAGGUGCCAAACACACUCUAAACAACUCAUAAACAACUACCCAAAAACCCCCUAAAAC